RNAcentral lists this ribosomal RNA (252 nucleotides) under uncultured bacterium. Its description in RNAcentral is "partial 16S ribosomal RNA". It matches the Rfam family "Bacterial small subunit ribosomal RNA", at positions 524 to 776 of the family's 1533-position model. The record is from RNAcentral.
UACGGAGGGUGCGAGCGUUAUCCGGAUUCACUGGGUUUAAAGGGUGCGUAGGCGGGCAGGUAAGUCAGUGGUGAAAUCUCCGGGCUUAACCCGGAACUGCCGUUGAUACUAUCUGUCUUGAAUAUUGUGGAGGUAAGCGGAAUAUGUCAUGUAGCGGUGAAAUGCUUAGAUAUGACAUAGAACACCAAUUGCGAAGGCAGCUUACUACACAGUUAUUGACGCUGAGGCACGAAAGCGUGGGGAUCAAACAGG